CUACGGGCGGCUCCAGUAGGGAAUAUUGCGCAAUGGGGGAAACCCUGACGCAGCAAUGCCGCGUGAGUGAGGAAGGUCUUCGGAUUGUAAAGCUCUGUCUUAAGGGAAAAAUGAAAUUUAUAGAAAUAUAAGUAAGUGAUGGUACCUUAAAAGAAAGCACCGGCUAACUUCGUGCCAGCAGCCGCGGUAAUACGAAGGGUGCAAGCGUUGUUCGGAUUUAUUGGGCGUAAAGGGCGCGUAGGCGGAUAAUUAAGUCAGGUGUGAAAUCUCGGGGCUCAACCCCGAAACUGCGCCUGAAACUGAUAAUCUAGAAUCUCAAAGAGGGAAGGGGAAUUUCGCAUGUAGGAGUAAAAUCCGUAGAGAUGCGAAGGAACACCGGAGGCGAAGGCGCCUUCCUGGUUGAGUAUUGACGCUGAGGCGCGAAAGCGUGGGGAGCAAACAGGAUUAGAUACCCUCGUAGUC
Molecule: ribosomal RNA, 462 nt
Filed under: uncultured bacterium
Lineage: Bacteria
Description: partial 16S ribosomal RNA
Rfam family: Bacterial small subunit ribosomal RNA
Source: RNAcentral